This 462-nucleotide ribosomal RNA is filed under the name uncultured bacterium. Its description in RNAcentral is "bacterial SSU rRNA". It matches the Rfam family "Bacterial small subunit ribosomal RNA", at positions 28 to 490 of the family's 1533-position model. The record is from RNAcentral.
GACGAACGCUGGCGGCGUGCCUAACACAUGCAAGUCGAGCGGAGUUUUUCGGAUUGAGACCUUCGGGAGGAUUUCUGAGAAACUUAGCGGCGGACGGGUGAGUAACGCGUGGGCAAUCUGCCUCUUACAGGGGGAUAACACAGGGAAAUGACUGCUAAUACCGCAUAAGCGCACAGUAUCGCAUGAUACAGUGUGAAAAACUCCGGUGGUAUGAGAUGGACCCGCGUCUGAUUAGCUAGUUGGUAAGGUAACGGCUUACCAAGGCGACGAUCAGUAGCCGGCCUGAGAGGGUGAUCGGCCACAUUGGGACUGAGACACGGCCCAAACUCCUACGGGAGGCAGCAGUGGGGAAUAUUGCACAAUGGGGGAAACCCUGAUGCAGCAACGCCGCGUGAAGGAUGACGUAUUUCGGUAUGUAAACUUCUAUCAGCAAGGAGAUGAUGACGGUACUUGACUAAGAAG